This 215-nucleotide unclassified non-coding RNA is filed under the name Hevea brasiliensis (rubber tree). The record is from RNAcentral. Lineage: Eukaryota; Viridiplantae; Streptophyta; Magnoliopsida; Malpighiales; Euphorbiaceae.
GACAAGUUUAAAAAAAAAAAACCUUAGCAGUCUACCCUUUUAUCAUGUGCCUAGCCUCAUUGGGGCGCGCCUCCGUGCGCCUCGGUGCACCUCAGUGAGGUCUUGCGCCUCAGUUGCCCCGAGGCGCCUGGGGCUGCGCCUGGUGCGCCUUAUGCCUGAGGCGCGUUUUAGGUGCGCCUUUGAUAACAGUGGCUACUCCUCCCAUUGCCAUCCGA